RNAcentral lists this ribosomal RNA (498 nucleotides) under Marphysa sp. D HA-2019. RNAcentral's name for it is "partial 16S ribosomal RNA". It matches the Rfam family "Bacterial large subunit ribosomal RNA", at positions 1832 to 2600 of the family's 2925-position model. The record is from RNAcentral. Lineage: Eukaryota; Metazoa; Annelida; Polychaeta; Eunicida; Eunicidae.
UGUAGACCCUUCUAUUACAGGUACAUCCUGCCCAGUGUUAUUAUCAACGGCCGCGGUACCCUGACCGUGCAAAGGUAGCAUAAUAAUUUGCCUUUUAAUUGAAGGCUAGCAUGAACGGACAAACGAGAAUAAGACUGUCUCACUUAUAUCCAUAAAAAUUUAUCCUUAGGUGAAGAAGCCUAAAUUUAUAUAAAAGACAAGAAGACCCCGUCGAGCUUUAGCUUAAUAUAUAACUUCAAUAUCACUCUACCACACCCUAUAUAGAACCUUUUGUUGGGGCGACAACGGAAUAUAUUAAUCUUCCGUAACAAGCCAGACCCUAUGUCAAUCAAAUGAUCCUUUACUGAUCACAAGAACUAGCUACCGCAGGGAUAACAGACUAAUCUUCCUCCGGAGCCCAAAUCUACAGGAAGGCUUGGCACCUCGAUGUUGGCUUAGGAAAAUCCCCUAGAUGAAGCAGUCUAGGAAGUGGGUUUGUUCAACCCUUAAUAUCCUACA